GCGGGGGUGCCCGAGCAUGGUCAAAGGGGGCGGACUUAAGAUCCGCUGGAGCAGUCCUGCACGGGUUCAAAUCCCGUCCCCCGCA
Molecule: transfer RNA, 85 nt
Filed under: Metallosphaera hakonensis JCM 8857 = DSM 7519
Lineage: Archaea; Thermoproteati; Thermoproteota; Thermoprotei; Sulfolobales; Sulfolobaceae
Description: tRNA-Leu
Rfam family: tRNA
About the family: Transfer RNA (tRNA) molecules are approximately 80 nucleotides in length.
Source: RNAcentral